This 472-nucleotide long non-coding RNA is filed under the name Homo sapiens (human). Its description in RNAcentral is "HSALNT0388674". The record is from RNAcentral. Lineage: Eukaryota; Metazoa; Chordata; Mammalia; Primates; Hominidae.
UAGAGACGGGGUUUCACCGUGUUAGCCAGGAUUGUCUGGAUCUCCUGACCUCGUAAUCCACCCACCUGGCCUCCCAAAGUGCUAGGAUUACAGGUGUGAGCCACGGCGCCCUGAGGACUGGCAGACCCAUCUGACUUUCUUGGAGUAGAGGAGGAAGAGGAGGAAGAAGAGGUGCAGGAGGAAGACCAGUGUUGAUUGAGCCAGCGGGAAGCAGAAUCUCUGGAGGGCCAUGCAGAGCCUUGGGGACUGACCAAGUUCCCCCACUGAGGGGUCCCAGGCUGGACCGACAGGAGAGCCUGGGAGGAGUUCUGACCCUGGAGAGGAGGUUGGCCCAGCCAGGGAGACAUGUCCUGCUUCAGAGAGGCCUUUCUAAAAACAAAACCCAUCCCUGAGGAAGCAAGACAUCUGGUGACUGCUCCGUUCUACCCCAAUUCUCACUCACUCUGGCCAGUGAAGCCGCUUCAGGAACAAC